CAGUCGCCACGGUAAUACGAAGGGGGCUAGCGUUGCUCGGAAUGACUGGGCGUAAAGGGCGCGUAGGCGGCGGCCAAAGUCAGGCGUGAAAUUCCCGGGCUCAACCUGGGGGCUGCGCUUAAUACAGGCAGUCUAGAGUGAGGAAGAGGGUUGUGGAAUUCCCAGUGUAGAGGUGAAAUUCGUAGAUAUUGGGAAGAACACCGGUGGCGAAGGCGGCAACCUGGUCCUUGACUGACGCUGAGGCGCGAAAGCGUGGGGAGCAAACAGGAUUAGAUACCCCCGUAGUCCCUGUCUCUUAUAC
RNAcentral lists this ribosomal RNA (301 nucleotides) under uncultured bacterium. Its description in RNAcentral is "partial 16S ribosomal RNA". It matches the Rfam family "Bacterial small subunit ribosomal RNA", at positions 509 to 807 of the family's 1533-position model. The record is from RNAcentral.